CCCUGUAUUGACAGUGACUAUGGUAUGUCUGGUUGCCAGGUCAUUGAUACUACAGGGAGAGAAAACUGAAAACCUUCCCCGUGUUUGCAGGACUGCUUGUUCCUGUCAAACCCUGUAUUUUUUCAGACA
This is a small nucleolar RNA of Electrophorus electricus (electric eel), 129 nucleotides long. Its record names the gene SNORA71. It matches the Rfam family "Small nucleolar RNA SNORA71". Rfam says of the family: The members of this family belong to the H/ACA class of snoRNAs which bind a number of proteins (including dyskerin, Gar1p and Nop10p) to form snoRNP complexes. This class of snoRNAs are thought to guide the sites of modification of uridines to pseudouridines by forming direct base pairing interactions with substrate RNAs. The record is from Ensembl. NCBI's taxonomy places the organism in Eukaryota, Metazoa, Chordata, Actinopteri, Gymnotiformes, Gymnotidae.